RNAcentral lists this ribosomal RNA (690 nucleotides) under uncultured bacterium. Its description in RNAcentral is "bacterial SSU rRNA". It matches the Rfam family "Bacterial small subunit ribosomal RNA", at positions 141 to 851 of the family's 1533-position model. The record is from RNAcentral.
GGAUAACAUACCGAAAGGUAUGCUAAUACGAGAUAAUAUGCUUUUAUCGCAUGGUAGAAGUAUCAAAGCUUUUGCGGUACAGGAUGGACCCGCGUCUGAUUAGCUAGUUGGUAAGGUAACGGCUUACCAAGGCGACGAUCAGUAGCCGACCUGAGAGGGUGAUCGGCCACAUUGGAACUGAGACACGGUCCAAACUCCUACGGGAGGCAGCAGUGGGGAAUAUUGCACAAUGGGCGAAAGCCUGAUGCAGCAACGCCGCGUGAGCGAUGAAGGCCUUCGGGUCGUAAAGCUCUGUCCUCAAGGAAGAUAAUGACGGUACUUGAGGAGGAAGCCCCGGCUAACUACGUGCCAGCAGCCGCGGUAAUACGUAGGGGGCUAGCGUUAUCCGGAAUUACUGGGCGUAAAGGGUGCGUAGGUGGUUUCUUAAGUCAGAGGUGAAAGGCUACGGCUCAACCGUAGUAAGCCUUUGAAACUGGGAAACUUGAGUGCAGGAGAGGAGAGUGGAAUUCCUAGUGUAGCGGUGAAAUGCGUAGAUAUUAGGAGGAACACCAGUUGCGAAGGCGGCUCUCUGGACUGUAACUGACACUGAGGCACGAAAGCGUGGGGAGCAAACAGGAUUAGAUACCCUGGUAGUCCACGCCGUAAACGAUGAGUACUAGCUGUCGGAGGUUACCCCCUUCGGUGGCGCAG